This 442-nucleotide ribosomal RNA is filed under the name uncultured bacterium. RNAcentral's name for it is "bacterial SSU rRNA". It matches the Rfam family "Bacterial small subunit ribosomal RNA", at positions 338 to 795 of the family's 1533-position model. The record is from RNAcentral.
CCUACGGGCUGCAGCAGUGGGGAAUCUUGCGCAAUGGGCGAAAGCCUGACGCAGCAACGCCGCGUGCGGGAUGAAGGCCCUCGGGUUGUAAACCGCUUUCAGUGGGGACGAACCAAGACGGUACCCACAGAAGAAGCCCCGGCCAACUACGUGCCAGCAGCCGCGGUAACACGUAGGGGGCAAGCGUUGUCCGGAUUUAUUGGGCGUAAAGAGCUCGUAGGUGGUUCGAUAAGUCGGGUGUGAGACCUCCAGGCUCAACCUGGAGACGCCACCCGAUACUGUCGUGACUAGAGUCCAGUAGGGGAGCGUGGAAUUCCUGGUGUAGCGGUGAAAUGCGCAGAUAUCAGGGGGCACACCAGCGGCGAAGGCGGCGCUCUGGGCUGGCACUGACACUGAGGAGCGAAAGCGUGGGGAGCGAACAGGAUUAGAUACCCGAGUAGUC